GCCUAGGGGGUAUUGAACCUACCGAAGACUAUCAAACUCCGAAUGCCGGCAUCUUAUACUUGGGAGUCAGACUGUGGGUGAUAAGAUGCAGAGUCGAAAGGGCAACAGCCCAGAUCGUCAGCAAAGGUCCCGAAAUGUAAAGUAAGAGAGAAAGUAUGUGUGAUGCCACAGACAACCAUGAUGUUAGCUUAGAAGCAGCCACUCAUUCAAAGAGUGCGUAAUAGCUCACUGGUCGAGUGAGCCUGCGCCGAAGAUUUCCGGGGCUAAAACUUACUACCGACGCUACGGCAUCAGUAAUGAUGGGUAGGGGAGCUUCCCAUACGGGUUGAAGCAUGACCGUAAUGAAAUGUGGACAGUACGGGAGUGAGAAGGUUUGCAUGAGUAGCGAGAUGUGGGGGAGAAUCCCUCAGGCCCUACACCCCACCUUUCCAGGAGAAG
This 438-nucleotide ribosomal RNA is filed under the name Clostridioides difficile. RNAcentral's name for it is "bacterial LSU rRNA". It matches the Rfam family "Bacterial large subunit ribosomal RNA", at positions 917 to 1363 of the family's 2925-position model. Lineage: Bacteria; Bacillati; Bacillota; Clostridia; Peptostreptococcales; Peptostreptococcaceae. The record is from RNAcentral.